AAACAUAGCCUUUUGAUAUCUUAUAAAAGGUAUCUUCUGCCCAGUGAAAAUUUAACGGCCGCGGUAACCUGACCGUGCUAAGGUAGCAUAAUAAUUUGUCCCUUAAUUUGGGAAUAGAAUGAAUGAAUAAACAAUAAGAUUAUUGUCUCACAGUAAUAAAUAAAAAUUUAUAUAAAGGUGAAAAAGCCUUUAUAAAUAAAAAAGACAAAAAGACCCUAGAAGCUUGCAAAUAAUUAUAAUUAUUUUAUAUAUAUUUUUUAGCUGGGAGGGCACAAAGAUUAUAAUACACUUUGAACACAAAAGACAUAUAUCAAAUUUAAUUAACCCUAAUAAGAAUAAAAGUAAGCUACUCUAGGGGUAACAGGCUAAUACUCCUUAAGAGUACAUAUUGACAGGAGUGUUUGGCACCUCGAUGUUGGCUUAGGAAACUUAUUUUAUGCAGAAGUAAAACUAAGUGGUUUGUUCAACCUUUAAUAUCCUACAUGAUCUGAGUUCAAACCGGAGA
RNAcentral lists this ribosomal RNA (505 nucleotides) under Trypanosyllis zebra. Its description in RNAcentral is "partial 16S ribosomal RNA". It matches the Rfam family "Bacterial large subunit ribosomal RNA", at positions 1811 to 2622 of the family's 2925-position model. Lineage: Eukaryota; Metazoa; Annelida; Polychaeta; Phyllodocida; Syllidae. The record is from RNAcentral.